RNAcentral lists this ribosomal RNA (825 nucleotides) under Campylobacter sp. RNAcentral's name for it is "bacterial SSU rRNA". It matches the Rfam family "Bacterial small subunit ribosomal RNA", at positions 618 to 1440 of the family's 1533-position model. Lineage: Bacteria; Pseudomonadati; Campylobacterota; Epsilonproteobacteria; Campylobacterales; Campylobacteraceae. The record is from RNAcentral.
CUUACUGCUUGGGAACUGAUAGUCUAGAGUGAGGGAGAGGCAGAUGGAAUUGGUGGUGUAGGGGUAAAAUCCGUAGAUAUCACCAAGAAUACCCAUUGCGAAGGCGAUCUGCUGGAACUUAACUGACGCUAAGGCGCGAAAGCGUGGGGAGCAAACAGGAUUAGAUACCCUGGUAGUCCACGCCCUAAACGAUGUACACUAGUUGUUGGGGUGCUAGUCAUCUCAGUAAUGCAGCUAACGCAUUAAGUGUACCGCCUGGGGAGUACGGUCGCAAGAUUAAAACUCAAAGGAAUAGACGGGGACCCGCACAAGCGGUGGAGCAUGUGGUUUAAUUCGAAGAUACGCGAAGAACCUUACCUGGGCUUGAUAUCCUAAGAACCUUUUAGAGAUAAGAGGGUGCUAGCUUGCUAGAACUUAGAGACAGGUGCUGCACGGCUGUCGUCAGCUCGUGUCGUGAGAUGUUGGGUUAAGUCCCGCAACGAGCGCAACCCACGUAUUUAGUUGCUAACGGUUCGGCCGAGCACUCUAAAUAGACUGCCUUCGUAAGGAGGAGGAAGGUGUGGACGACGUCAAGUCAUCAUGGCCCUUAUGCCCAGGGCGACACACGUGCUACAAUGGCAUAUACAAUGAGACGCAAUACCGCGAGGUGGAGCAAAUCUAUAAAAUAUGUCCCAGUUCGGAUUGUUCUCUGCAACUCGAGAGCAUGAAGCCGGAAUCGCUAGUAAUCGUAGAUCAGCCAUGCUACGGUGAAUACGUUCCCGGGUCUUGUACUCACCGCCCGUCACACCAUGGGAGUUGAUUUCACUCGAAGCCGGAAUACUAACA